AAAAAUAUUAAUAGGUUCGAAAUCUAUGAACGAAGAUCGAUAAUAAAACUUUGUUUUCGUGAAAAUUUUGUGAUUAAUUAAUAAGAUUGAAAAUUUUGUAGGAUUGUUGGCUCGAGUAUUAGUUACAUCUUAAAGAAAAAAUUUAAUGUCAAAUCGAUUAUUUUCCAAAGAAUCUAAGAUUUCAAAUAAAGUAGAGCAUCGAUUUUGUACAAACUUAUUUGGAACCAGAAAUGUUUGUCAAAAAGAUUUUUUGGAUAAAUGACAUUCUGUUAAAUGCGAGUGAAGUUGCUUUGUCAAUGUAAUCACAUACUACACACGUUUAAGUUACGAAAAAUUGGAUAAAUUCGUACUUUUAACAUCAAAAAUAUAUUAUUUCGUCAAGUUUCUUUCGACUAAUUCGAUAAUUCAUUAACAGAUUCUAAGAACUUCAUUGAUAGAGGACGGAGUGAAUAAAUGGCAAAUCUAUUGGAGCAUUCAUCUUGGAUCAUUCAGUGGUCUACCCAAUAGAGCACUUAAUGAUGUAGUCAAUAGAGUUCUACUUUCUAAAAACUUAAUGGAGCAUCAAUCAGAAUCUGAGAUGAUGCUCGAAAUUUAAUCCGGAAAAUCAUUUUUGAUGUAUUAUUAAAAAAGAAAAAGAAAAGGAAACAAAAUAAAAACUAAAAGCAUGAAUUGGUUUUACAAGAAUUCAAUUGAUUGAACUUGGAUAAAAUCUAAACUGUAAAAAUUGUUGUUAGG
Long non-coding RNA from Centruroides sculpturatus (bark scorpion), 735 nucleotides. RefSeq lists it as uncharacterized. NCBI's taxonomy places the organism in Eukaryota, Metazoa, Arthropoda, Arachnida, Scorpiones, Buthidae. The transcript has 4 exons. The record is from RefSeq and is a predicted model, not a curated record.